Molecule: ribosomal RNA, 198 nt
Filed under: Triticum aestivum (bread wheat)
Lineage: Eukaryota; Viridiplantae; Streptophyta; Magnoliopsida; Poales; Poaceae
Description: partial small subunit ribosomal RNA
Source: RNAcentral
GCCAGAGUACGAUUAACCUCUGGAUUUGAAAUCACUACUUAUAUACCUGGUAUUGGCCAUAAUUUACAAUAACAUUUUGUAGUAUUAGUAACAGGGAGCAGGGUUAAGGAUUUUCCCGGUGUGAGAUAUCGCAUUAUCCGAGGAACCCUAGAUGAUAUGCUUUAUUACAGUUCUAAAUUUAUGUUUUAUAAUAAAUGA